RNAcentral lists this ribosomal RNA (252 nucleotides) under uncultured bacterium. RNAcentral's name for it is "partial 16S ribosomal RNA". It matches the Rfam family "Bacterial small subunit ribosomal RNA", at positions 524 to 776 of the family's 1533-position model. The record is from RNAcentral.
UACGGAGGGUCCAAGCGUUAUCCGGAAUCAUUGGGUUAAAGGGUCCGUAGGCGGUUUGUAAGUCAGUGGUGAAAGCCCAUCGCUCAACGGUGGAACGGCCAUUGAUACUGCAAGACUUGAAUUAUUAGGAAGUAACUAGAAUAUGGUAGUGUAGCGGUGAAAUGCUUAGAGAUUACAUGGAAUACCAAUUGCGAAGGCAGGUUACUACUAAUGGAUUGACGCUGAUGGACGAAAGCGUGGGUAGCGAACAGG